RNAcentral lists this transfer RNA (71 nucleotides) under archaeon. RNAcentral describes it as "tRNA-Gly". It matches the Rfam family "tRNA". From Rfam's summary of the family: Transfer RNA (tRNA) molecules are approximately 80 nucleotides in length. The record is from RNAcentral.
GCGUGGAUAGUAUAAUGGUAGUAUAAUUGGUUUCCAACCAAUUGGCCUGGGUUCAAUCCCCAGUCCGCGCA